This 253-nucleotide ribosomal RNA is filed under the name uncultured bacterium. RNAcentral describes it as "partial 16S ribosomal RNA". It matches the Rfam family "Bacterial small subunit ribosomal RNA", at positions 524 to 776 of the family's 1533-position model. The record is from RNAcentral.
UACGAGGGGGGCAAGUGUUGUUCGGAAUCACUGGGCGUAAAGGGAGCGUAGGCGGGGGCGUACGUGAGAGGUUUAAAGCGGGAGCCCAACUCCCGUGGGGCCUUUCAAACUGCGCCUCUUGAAUCGGGGAGAGGUCGAUGGAAUUGGAGGUGUAGCGGUGGAAUGCGUAGAUAUCUCCAAGAACACCCGUUGCGAAGGCGGUCGACUGGCCCACGAUUGACGCUGAGGCUCGAAAGCAUGGGGAGCAAACAGG